CACACAUUUUCACAAAACUCAGAAAGUACCCCAAACUUUCUUGCAACCCCACAAAAAGUUAUGUCACUUGAUAGCCCUGAUCUUGGUGACCAACAUAUUAAAAAAAAUUACCCAGAUUGGAUCAGGAGUUUAAGAGUUUCAUGGAGGUCUUAGUUUGACCGACCGCACACGAGGCUCCUGCCCAGAAAAAGUUACUUGAGUUUAGGUUGUACGGUCGGUCUAUUUCGGAAAGUCUGUAAACCGAACAAAUCCACACCCGGUACCCCCUGGCUCAUAGGUAGUGUUUGUUCCCCUAGUUCGUGGCAACAAAACUACCGAAUAGCACUCUCCUGGCUGGUCGGUGAAGGCAAGCAGGCGUUCGCAAAGUUUGACCGGCAUUCGGGAAGUUGAGUGUCCGAUUUUAGACCCGCUGCCUCUUUUCGUGUGAACAAGAUGGCAACCAUUUUCUCCUGCACGUGGCGUUCGAAAAUACGCCACACAGGAAGAGCACUUAAUUCUAUGGUUUCCUUUGAAGUUAAUGAGCCAGGGGGCUGGUCAGUGUUCAGUAGUUUUAUCUAGCGAACAAGAAAAAUCCAGUGCAAUGGAAAAAAAACCGAAGUAGUUGCUUCACACCCAGUGAAAACCGAUCCACUCCAAUGGUAGGGAUGCUGGGUGAAAUAAAAUUGAAUUAAAACACAUAAUUUGUGAGUCUGUCAUGUUUUGUGUGUGUGUGUGUUUGUAGGUAACCAGACCCUCUCCGAUCUUAUGGGAACAGUAUUCAUACUUGCCUUUUUCCCCCACACUGUGCUGGCUCGGCAUCUGUGGCUGAGAUCAAACUUGAUGAUCUCAGCCAAUCCAGUGCUUUCCUAUAGACAAGUAUUGGGAAGUUAUUGCAAAUGUGCUGCAAAACAAUGCACCAAUCAGCAUCUCCUCAUAGAGAUUCAUUGAAUCAAUGUAUCUCUAUGGGGAACGUUGAACGCCUCCAUGUAGUGUAUGGAGAUGCUGAAUGUAGGUAAUGCACACGGAUAGGAAGCACUUCAGUAGCCAACUUUUCUCUGAAAAGGCUAUAGGGACAGGCUACAUUCAAGUGCAGUGAUCCUGGUGACUAUCCC
Molecule: non-coding RNA, 1091 nt
Organism: Pelobates cultripes (western spadefoot toad)
Lineage: Eukaryota; Metazoa; Chordata; Amphibia; Anura; Pelobatidae
Source: the annotation of a GenBank genome assembly